AUACGUAGGGGGCGAGCGUUGUCCGGAAUGAUUGGGCGUAAAGGGCGCGUAGGCGGCGCGGUAAGUCUGGAGUGAAAGUCCUGCUUUCAAGGUGGGAAUUGCUUUGGAUACUGCCGCGCUUGAGUGCAGGAGAGGUUAUCGGAAUUCCCGGUGUAGCGGUGAAAUGCGAAGAGAUCGGGAGGAACACCAGUGGCGAAGGCGGGUAACUGGACUGCAACUGACGCUGAGGCGCGAAAGUGUGGGGAGCAAACAGGAUUAGAUACCCUGGUAGUCCACACUGUAAACGAUGAAUGCUAGGUGUAAGAGGUAUCGACCCCUUUUGUGCCGGAGUCAACACAAUAAGCAUUCCGCCUGGGGAGUACGGCCGCAAGGUUGAAACUCAAAUGAAUUGACGGGG
Molecule: ribosomal RNA, 397 nt
Filed under: uncultured bacterium
Lineage: Bacteria
Description: partial 16S ribosomal RNA
Rfam family: Bacterial small subunit ribosomal RNA
Source: RNAcentral